CCUACGGGUGGCUGCAGUGAGGAAUAUUGGUCAAUGGCCGCGAGCCUGAACCAGCCAAGUCGCGUGAGGGAAGACGGUUCUAUGGUUUGUAAACCUCUUUUAUAGGGGAAUAAAGGUAUCCACGUGUGGCUAUUUGCAUGUACCCGAUGAAAAAGCAUCGGCUAACUCCGUGCCAGCAGCCGCGGUAAUACGGAGGAUGCGAGCGUUAUCCGGAUUUAUUGGGUUUAAAGGGUGCGUAGGCGGUUAUUUAAGUCAGCGGUGAAAGUUUGUGGCUCAACCCUAAUAUUGCCGUUGAAACUGGAAGUCUUGAGUGUGCGAGAGGUAGGCGGAAUGCGUGGUGUAGCGGUGAAAUGCAUAGAUAUCACGCAGAACUCCGAUUGCGAAGGCAGCAUAC
This 394-nucleotide ribosomal RNA is filed under the name uncultured bacterium. RNAcentral describes it as "partial 16S ribosomal RNA". It matches the Rfam family "Bacterial small subunit ribosomal RNA", at positions 338 to 729 of the family's 1533-position model. The record is from RNAcentral.